UCCAUGAAUCACACUUACCAUGCAAUGUUAUGUGCACAUUAAUAUCCAACAAGUUUCAAGCAACUAUGGCUUCUGGCUCUGGAGAUUAAUUCACAUCAGAGAUAGUCAUUAAUGGUGAGAAUCACUCACUUCUUUCAGCUCCUAACCUUUCAUCUCAACUUGUUCUUGCUUAUAAAAAGAUUUAGACCUCAAAAAAUUUGUUGAGGACAUGUUGGCAAGUUUAUAAAAAUAGCAUACAAUGGAAUUAAUGCAGCUGAUCACCUGUUCUAAUCUCUAUGAAUACAUUAAGGAUAACCCAGAUUAUAAGGAAUCAAAGGAACAUCUCCCUGCCCUUGCUGAAGAGUUCAUAGCUAUAAUAAAUGAUGCAAAGGAAAAGAUAGAACAAGAAGGAGCCAAGCAAACUAUCAUAAGUUAAUUGAUUAUGUUGCUUCCGUAGUAUUAGUAUUGUUAUGUACAAGGUUUUUAGUAUUCUGCUACUUGCUGUUACAUUAUAUCUGUACAUAAUAUUGAUCUAGUAUUUAAUGACUUAGCCCCUAGCUUUGUUUUUAAUAGAAUCAGCCAAUUUUUUGAUUCCAUAGAAUAUAUCCAACAUUCACGUCUUGUUUUAACCCUAAUUGUUAGUUCUACUGUAUGACACAAAAUUAAAAUUAUUUUUUGCAUGCUAUAAAUUUUACCCUUGGACCCUGAAGCUGCUACAACUUGUGAGCAGAAAACCUCUCAAAAAGAUACCAAAGUGUUGCUACAACAGAGAAUCUCUACACAGUUCUACUAAUAAAAAUGCUAAUAAAAAUUGUGAAUUAUGUAACCCUCCCUUAUAAUCAGAAGGAGUCCAAAUUGUUGCACUUAAAGUACCAUGAUUCUGAAAAAUGACAAACAUCAUUAAUAAUAGUAGAGUUUAAUUAAUCCUCGCAAAAUUGGGCCAAUAUUUUGCCUCCCAUUUUUUAUAAGUCAAAAUCUUUCAAUUAAAAGCUAAGAAAUUUCAGGAGACUAAAACUUGUGUAGGUUAUGACCAUAUAGGGGUAAGAACAGGGGCUAAAACCCCCUACCCAAAUUUUUUUAAGUUGGGCUUAGCCUUCCAGCUUUAACAAGCAAGAUACACAUGAAAGACAUAAACAGACAUUCAAUGGGUAUUUAAUGUGUUAUUUUUACAGAUGUAUUAAUAUGAUUUAAGCCCCUAAAUUUCAAAUUGCUUAAUAGUUCUUAAAUGGGACUUACAUAAUUAAUGCAUUAUAAUUCAUAGUCAAUGCUAGAGUAACUCCUGACUGUAAUAAUUAACACUCACUGUCCCUCGCUCUAUUUUGUCUCUCCUUCUCACUCUCUCUCUCUCUCCCUCUCUCUCUCUCUCCUUUAUAGUAAAAUAAAAAAAUAAAACUCUCUUCUGGAGAUGAUCAACUACUGCAACCUGAUGAAUUUAAAAGAUAUUAUUGGUAGUAAGAAAAAAUGACAGUACCUGAAAUACUGGACUCAUGAAGUAAACUCUUCUGGUAAGAAUGCUGUCCCAAAUA
Molecule: long non-coding RNA, 1505 nt
Organism: Amphimedon queenslandica
Lineage: Eukaryota; Metazoa; Porifera; Demospongiae; Haplosclerida; Niphatidae
Exons: 3
Source: RefSeq, a predicted model, not a curated record